This is a long non-coding RNA of Tympanuchus pallidicinctus (lesser prairie-chicken), 484 nucleotides long. RefSeq lists it as uncharacterized. Lineage: Eukaryota; Metazoa; Chordata; Aves; Galliformes; Phasianidae. The record is from RefSeq and is a predicted model, not a curated record. The transcript has 5 exons.
GUGGGGCACCGUGGGGUCAUGGUGGGACUCAAUGGGGUCAAUGGGUCCCAAUGGGGUCAAUGGGGUCGUGUGGGGUCAAUGGGACCCCAUGGGGUCAAUGGGGUCAUGGUCUGUCCCAAAGGGGUCAAUGGGCCCCAGUGGGGUCAAUGGGGUCCUGGUGAAUCCCAAUGGGGUCAGUGGGUCCCAAUGGGGUCAAUGGGUCCCAGUGGGGGUCAGUGGGUCCCAAUGGGGUCAGUGGGUCCCAGUGGGGUCAAUGGGGUCCUGGUGCAUCCCAAUGGGGUCAAUGGGGCCCAAUGGGGUCAAUGGGGCCCAAUGGGGGUCAGUGGGUCCCAGUGGGGUCAAUGGGGUACUGGUGCAUCCCAAUGGGGUCAGUGGGUCCCAGUGGGGUCAAUGGGGUCCUGGUGCAUCCCAAUGGGGUCAAUGGGGCCCAAUGGGGUCAAUGGGGCCCAAUGGGGGUCAGUGGGUCCCAAUGGGGUCAAUGGGG